GGGGGGGGGGGGGGGGGGGGGGGGGGGGGGGGGGGCGGGGGGAGGGGGGCGGGGUUGGUGGGGGGCUGGGGUGGCGGACGGGUGAGUAACACGUGAGUAACCUGCCCUUGACUUGGGGGUAACUUCAGGAAACUGGGGCUAAUACCGGAUAGGAGCUGCUGCUGCAUGGUGGGGGUGGGCAAGUUUCGGCGGGUGGGGAUGGCCUCGCGGCUUAUCAGCGUGUUGGUGGGGUAGUGGCUUACCAAGGCUUGGACGGGUAGCCGGCCUGAGGGGGUGACCGGCCACAUUGGGACUGAGAUACGGCCCAGACUCCUACGGGAGGCAGCAGAGGGGAAUAUUGCACAAUGGGCGGAAGCCUGAUGCAGCAACGCCGCGUGCGGGAUGACGGCCUUCGGGUUGUAAACCGCUUUCGCCUGUGACGAAGCGUGAGUGACGGUAAUGGGUAAAGAAGCACCGGCUAACUACGUG
RNAcentral lists this ribosomal RNA (468 nucleotides) under uncultured bacterium. RNAcentral describes it as "partial 16S ribosomal RNA". The stretch from base 54 to 468 matches the Rfam family "Bacterial small subunit ribosomal RNA", at positions 35 to 507 of the family's 1533-position model. The record is from RNAcentral.